CCUACGGGAGGCAGCAGUGAGGAAUAUUGGUCAAUGGGCGCGAGCCUGAACCAGCCAAGUAGCGUGAAGGAUGACUGCCCUACGGGUUGUAAACUUCUUUUAUAAAGGAAUAAAGUGCGGCACGUGUGCCUUUUUGUAUGUACUUUAUGAAUAAGGAUCGGCUAACUCCGUGCCAGCAGCCGCGGUAAUACGGAGGAUCCGAGCGUUAUCCGGAUUUAUUGGGUUUAAAGGGAGCGUAGAUGGGUUGUUAAGUCAGGUGUGAAAGUUUGGGGCUCAACCGUAAAAUUGCAAUUGAUACUGGCAGCCUUGAGUACAGUAGAGGUAGGCGGAAUGCGUGGUGUAGCGGUGAAAUGCUUAGAUAUCACGAAGAACUCCGAUUGCGAAGGCAGCUUACUAAACUGCCACUGACAUUGAUGCUCGAAAGUGUGGGUAUCGAACAGGAUUAGAUACCCCUGUAGUC
RNAcentral lists this ribosomal RNA (460 nucleotides) under uncultured bacterium. RNAcentral describes it as "partial 16S ribosomal RNA". It matches the Rfam family "Bacterial small subunit ribosomal RNA", at positions 338 to 795 of the family's 1533-position model. The record is from RNAcentral.